This 403-nucleotide ribosomal RNA is filed under the name uncultured bacterium. RNAcentral describes it as "partial 16S ribosomal RNA". It matches the Rfam family "Bacterial small subunit ribosomal RNA", at positions 30 to 526 of the family's 1533-position model. The record is from RNAcentral.
AUUGAACGCUGGCGGCAGGCCUAACACAUGCAAGUCGAGCGAGCGGCGGACGGGUGAGUAAAGUAUGGGGACUGUCCGUGAGAGGGGGAUAAAUACAGGAGACGGGAGCUAAUACAGCACACUAUAGGAGAAACCACAUGGGAUUAGCUAUUAGGUGAGGUAAUGGCUCACCUAGGCGACGAUCUCCAGCUGGUCUGAGAGGUUUAUCAGCCACACUGGGACUGAGACACGGCCCAGAUUCCUACGGAGGCAGCAGUGGGGAAUAUUGCACAAUGGGCGCAAGCCUGAUGCAGCCAUGCCGCGUGUAUGAAGAAGGCCUUAGGGUUGUAAAGUACUUUCAGUCGGGAGGCGUUACCGACAGAAGAAGCACCGGCUAACUCCGUGCCAGCAGCCGCGGUAAGAC